GUUUUUCACAUUGAUAUCUUUUGGUUGUAGUUGUUGUUUAAAGUAAGUGUAAAUGUGUGGAUACUCCAGCUGUUCAGUGACCCGGAGGUCCCAUCCCAACUGGAGAACACGAGUGUUGGAAAUUUGUUAAUGAUCCUUCCGCAGGUUCACCUACGGAAA
This 159-nucleotide unclassified non-coding RNA is filed under the name uncultured fungus. RNAcentral's name for it is "sequence contains ITS1". The record is from RNAcentral. Lineage: Eukaryota; Fungi.